AGCAGCCGCGGUAAUUCCAGCUCCAAUAGCGUAUAUUAAAGUUGUUGCAGUUAAAAAGCUCGUAGUUGAAUUUCGGGGUCAGUAGAUUGGUCGUGCCACUGGUAUGUACUGGUCUUACUGGCUCCUCCUUCCCGAUGAACCGUAAUGCCAUUAAUUUGGUGUUGCGGGGAGACUGGACUGUUACUUUGAAAAAAUUAGAGUGUUUAAAGCAGGCUAACGCUUGAAUACAUUAGCAUGGAAUAAUGAAAUAGGACGUUCGAUCUUAUUUUGUUGGUUUCUAGGAUUGACGUAAUGAUUAAUAGGGAUAGUUGGGGGCAUUAGUAUUCAAUUGUCAGAGGUGAAAUUCUUGGAUUUAU
This 356-nucleotide ribosomal RNA is filed under the name uncultured Glomeraceae. Its description in RNAcentral is "SSU rRNA". It matches the Rfam family "Eukaryotic small subunit ribosomal RNA", at positions 569 to 929 of the family's 1831-position model. Lineage: Eukaryota; Fungi; Glomeromycota; Glomeromycetes; Glomerales; Glomeraceae. The record is from RNAcentral.